AUGAGAUCGUGCUCCAAGAACCGGUCGUUCUGCUGGACCCACGGGCUCCUGGUAUUCAUCAGCCUGCUCCUCAGUGUCUGCAGCUCUGCAGCCAACACUUCUGGAGCACAUGGCUCUGCAGUGAAGGAUUCUGGGAACCACAUUCAUCUGAAGUGCAUCCGAGGAGGUUUUGUCUUGUUUAAUGUGACCGAGAAGCACAGGGCAGAUGCAGGAGCCGAAGUGCAGGAGGUUGCAUGGGGUUUGGGCACUCCGUUAAAUCACACACAGGUGCUGCAAGUCCGUAGGGGAGCCGACUCUCCCAUCUGGUUGAGCCUCCAGGACAAGUUCAAGCAGAGGGUCCAUGUGCCCAGCAUGUGGUCUCUGAGGAUUGAGAACCUGGCCCCUGAAGACAGUGGGCAGUACGUGGCCAUGAUCCGCUUAACUCAGGGAAAAAUGCUUGGCCAGGUUUUCUACCUGACUGUCUAUGAUCCUGUGCCUCACCCUGAGAUCCUGGCCAAGUCACUGUCUAUCAUACCAGGCCUGUGUAACAUCACUCUGGAAUGCAGGGCUCCAGGGGCCACCCAGGACCUGAAUGUGACUUGGGAGAGCAAGGGCCUCUUCAGAGAGCUGGAGCAGAGAGACACAUCAGGACCAACCGCCAAGCUUUGGACCCUGGCUGUGAGCCUGCCCCUGAACCAGCGGAUCGGCAAUCUCACCUGUGUGGUCAGCAACCAGGUGGAUCAGAAAGCUGCAACCUUAGACCUUGGGAAAGUCUGUGCCCAAGCUCCUUCCUGCACUGUCUAUCUCAUGCUGCAGUGGGGUGCCGGCAACUCCCAGAGCUGGUGUCUUGACACAGCCAUUUCGGGACCUUGGAGCUCUUCCUUCCAGGAAUGCCCUACCCUGAAUAUCUGAGAAAUUCCUGCUCUAGCCUCAAGCCUCAGUUUAGCCAUCACCUCCUC
RNAcentral lists this long non-coding RNA (938 nucleotides) under Saimiri boliviensis boliviensis (Bolivian squirrel monkey). RNAcentral's name for it is "lncRNA (ENSSBOG00000036485.1)". Lineage: Eukaryota; Metazoa; Chordata; Mammalia; Primates; Cebidae. The record is from RNAcentral.